GACGAACGCUGGCGGCGCGCCUAACACAUGCAAGUCGAACGGAGUCAAGAGGAGCUUGCUUUUCUUGACUUAGUGGCGAACGGGUGAGUAACGCGUGAGUAACCUGCCCUGGAGUGGGGGACAACAGUUGGAAACGACUGCUAAUACCGCAUAAGCCCACGGAUCUGCAUGGAUCUGCGGGAAAAGGAUUUAUUCGCUCUAGGAUGGACUCGCGUCCAAUUAGCUAGUUGGUGAGGUAACGGCCCACCAAGGCGACGAUUGGUAGCCGGACUGAGAGGUUGAACGGCCACAUUGGGACUGAGACACGGCCCAGACUCCUACGGGAGGCAGCAGUGGGGGAUAUUGCACAAUGGGGGAAACCCUGAUGCAGCGACGCCGAGUGGAGGAAGAAGGUUUUCGGAUUGUAAACUCCUGUCGUUAGGGACGAUAAUGACGGUACCUAACAAGAAAGCACCAGCUAACUACGUG
This 468-nucleotide ribosomal RNA is filed under the name uncultured bacterium. RNAcentral describes it as "partial 16S ribosomal RNA". It matches the Rfam family "Bacterial small subunit ribosomal RNA", at positions 28 to 507 of the family's 1533-position model. The record is from RNAcentral.